AACGAACGCUGGCGGCAUGCCUAACACAUGCAAGUCGAACGAGACCUUCGGGUCUAGUGGCGCACGGGUGCGUAACGCGUGGGAACCUGCCCUUAGGUUCGGAAUAACUCCCCGAAAGGGGUGCUAAUACCGGAUAAUGUCUUCGGACCAAAGAUUUAUCGCCUUUGGAUGGGCCCGCGUUGGAUUAGCUAGUUGGUAGGGUAAAAGCCUACCAAGGCGACGAUCCAUAGCUGGUCUGAGAGGAUGAUCAGCCACACUGGGACUGAGACACGGCCCAGACUCCUACGGGAAGCAGCAGUGGGGAAUAUUGGACAAUGGGCGAAAGCCUGAUCCAGCAAUGCCGCGUGAGUGAUGAAGGACUUAGGGUUGUAAAGCUCUUUUACCCGGGAUGAUAAUGACAGUACCGGGAGAAUAAGCUCCGGCUAACUCCGUG
Molecule: ribosomal RNA, 433 nt
Filed under: uncultured bacterium
Lineage: Bacteria
Description: partial 16S ribosomal RNA
Rfam family: Bacterial small subunit ribosomal RNA
Source: RNAcentral